Molecule: ribosomal RNA, 433 nt
Filed under: uncultured bacterium
Lineage: Bacteria
Description: bacterial SSU rRNA
Rfam family: Bacterial small subunit ribosomal RNA
Source: RNAcentral
CAGGCCUAACACAUGCAAGUCGAACGCACCGCAAGGUGAGUGGCAGACGGGUGAGUAACACGUGGGAACAUGCCCUUCGGUUCGGGAUAACUCAGGGAAACUUGAGCUAAUACCGGAUACGUCCGCGAGGAGAAAGAUUCAUCGCCGAAGGAUUGGCCCGCGUCUGAUUAGCUAGUUGGUGAGGUAACGGCUCACCAAGGCGACGAUCAGUAGCUGGUCUGAGAGGAUGAUCAGCCACAUUGGGACUGAGACACGGCCCAAACUCCUACGGGAGGCAGCAGUGGGGAAUAUUGGACAAUGGGCGAAAGCCUGAUCCAGCAAUGCCGCGUGAGUGAUGAAGGCCUUAGGGUUGUAAAGCUCUUUUACCCGGGAUGAUAAUGACAGUACCGGGAGAAUAAGCCCCGGCUAACUCCGUGCCAGCAGCCGCGGUAAU